Molecule: ribosomal RNA, 360 nt
Filed under: Salmonella enterica
Lineage: Bacteria; Pseudomonadati; Pseudomonadota; Gammaproteobacteria; Enterobacterales; Enterobacteriaceae
Also listed under: 2 other names
Description: partial 23S ribosomal RNA
Rfam family: Bacterial large subunit ribosomal RNA
Source: RNAcentral
UCCUCCAAGGCUAAAUACUCCUGACUGACCGAUAGUGAACCAGUACCGUGAGGGAAAGGCGAAAAGAACCCCGGCGAGGGGAGUGAAAAAGAACCUGAAACCGUGUACGUACAAGCAGUGGGAGCACAGGUUUACCUGUGUGACUGCGUACCUUUUGUAUAAUGGGUCAGCGACUUAUAUUCUGUAGCAAGGUUAACCGUAUAGGGGAGCCGGAGGGAAACCGAGUCUUAAUUGGGCGUUAAGUUGCAGGGUAUAGACCCGAAACCCGGUGAUCUAGCCAUGGGCAGGUUGAAGGUUGGGUAACACUAACUGGAGGACCGAACCGACUAAUGUUGAAAAAUUAGCGGAUGACCUGUGGCU